UUUAAUUCAGUUGUUAUUAUAUGUAUAUAAAAUAAAAUACAAUAUUUAUACAUUUAUGUCAUGCAAUUAUGUGUGUAUGUUCACAUGUGUGAUCUCAAUAAGAACAGAACAUGCUUUCCUGGAACACUCUGUCUGGUUUGAACAAGGUCUAUACAUUAAGCUGACGUAAUGUGUACUAGGACAUGCUGUUGCCUCUCUCCCCUUGUGGCUGAAACAUGUAUGGCUUGAUUGGUCUGGGCAAUCUGUAAGCUUGUUUUGAGAUUCUACAGCCUUUAUCCUAGCAUGAGCUUCAAAUAGCUGUUUGUAUGCAGGAUUAGCAAUUAGAGUGGAGGUCUGCUGUGGUAAAAACGAUUAUGGGCUAAAUGUGCGCACAGGGUAUAUAGACUCUAUGCAUCUCAGAGUUCAGGGAGCUAAUAGCAAAAGGGAACGUGGUGACUUUAUCAGACCAUUCAAAAAGCAAAUAGAAAACAGCCAGCCCAUGGUUUCAGAGUCUCACCCCAAACGCAGUGGAAACUAGAAAGGCAAAGAAAAA
Molecule: long non-coding RNA, 532 nt
Organism: Sinocyclocheilus grahami
Lineage: Eukaryota; Metazoa; Chordata; Actinopteri; Cypriniformes; Cyprinidae
Exons: 2
Source: RefSeq, a predicted model, not a curated record